This 377-nucleotide ribosomal RNA is filed under the name uncultured bacterium. RNAcentral's name for it is "bacterial SSU rRNA". It matches the Rfam family "Bacterial small subunit ribosomal RNA", at positions 521 to 896 of the family's 1533-position model. The record is from RNAcentral.
UAAGACGAAGGGGGCUAGCGUUGUUCGGAAUUACUGGGCGUAAAGCGAGUGUAGGUGGUUGUCCAAGUUGGAUGUGAAAGCCUUGAGCUCAACUCAAGAAAUGCAUUCAGGACUGGGCGGCUAGAGGACCGGAGAGGAUAGUGGAAUUCCCAGUGUAGUGGUGAAAUACGUAGAGAUUGGGAAGAACACCAGUGGCGAAGGCGGCUAUCUGGACGGUUUCUGACACUAAGACUCGAAAGCGUGGGGAGCAAACAGGAUUAGAUACCCUGGUAGUCCACGCCGUAAACGAUGGGUACUAGGUGCCUGGGGGAGCGACCCUCUGGGUGCCGGCGCUAACGCAGGAAGUACCCCGCCUGGGGAGUACGACCGCAAGGUUG